CCCUUAGAUGUUCUGGGCCGCACGCGCGCUACACUGACUACUUCAUCGAGUUGUUUCCUUGAUCGAAAGGUCUGGGUAAUCUUUGAAAGGUAGUCGUGAUGGGGAUAGAUCCUUGCAAUUUUUGAUCUUCAACGAGGAAUUCCUAGUAAACGCAAGUCAUCAGCUUGCAUUGAUUACGUCCCUGCCCUUUGUACACACCGCCCGUCGCACCUACCGAUUGAAUGGUCCGGUGAAUCUUUAGGACUGUGGCUGAGGCCUUGCCUUGUGCGGGUCUGGCCGUGGGAAUUUAGUUAAACCUUACCAUUUAGAGGAAGGUGAAGUCGUAACA
This 328-nucleotide ribosomal RNA is filed under the name uncultured eukaryote. RNAcentral's name for it is "partial 18S ribosomal RNA". It matches the Rfam family "Eukaryotic small subunit ribosomal RNA", at positions 1470 to 1796 of the family's 1831-position model. The record is from RNAcentral.